UUAAUUCAGUGGUAGAGUAAUGCCAUGGUAAGGCGUAUAUUAUCAGUUCAAAUCCGAUA
This 59-nucleotide transfer RNA is filed under the name Daucus carota subsp. sativus. It matches the Rfam family "tRNA", at positions 7 to 64 of the family's 71-position model. From Rfam's summary of the family: Transfer RNA (tRNA) molecules are approximately 80 nucleotides in length. Their secondary structure includes four short double-helical elements and three loops (D, anti-codon, and T loops). The record is from Rfam by way of RNAcentral. Lineage: Eukaryota; Viridiplantae; Streptophyta; Magnoliopsida; Apiales; Apiaceae.